UACAAACAGUAUAAUUUUAUUUCUCACAGUUCUGGAGGCUGGGAAGUCCAAGAUCAAGGUGCCAACUGAUUCAAUGUCUGGUGAGAGCCAGCUUCCUGGCUUUGCAGACAACACCU
Long non-coding RNA from Aethalodelphis obliquidens (Pacific white-sided dolphin), 116 nucleotides. RefSeq lists it as uncharacterized. The record is from RefSeq and is a predicted model, not a curated record. The transcript has 3 exons. NCBI's taxonomy places the organism in Eukaryota, Metazoa, Chordata, Mammalia, Artiodactyla, Delphinidae.